AUUCCUGGUUUAAAGAAAACAAAACAAAGAAAAUAAACCGAGACUGAUCAUGACAUUUGGGAAAGACACUGGACGUAGUCUGAUUCAGCCAGCAAAGGGGGAGAGAUUGUUGGUUAAAUACCUUGGAUAAAGAAAGAAUGGUUAUUUAGCUAAUACACUGGAUUCACAGAUGAUAGGAAAACAGGCUAUGCAGUUUACAGGGUAUACCACAACACUGAAAGUGAGGAAUAUGCUUCUGAUAUAUUUAUAAGCAAAUAAUAUCCAUGAUGCUGAGACAAUGGGAGUUCUGCAGGUGCUGUGACAGUUGAUGACAACUUGAACCAAUUUCCCUGAGAAACUUGAGAGCUGCCUCUAUAAAACCUGAGCUGUGUGGGAGACUGAGAUGCAUCAGGAAUGCUCAGAAUUAGGGCUACUGGUUUCUCAUGUGGUUCCAGGGAAUUUAUUCACAGCUUUUGUAUCCCGAUAAAACAGACCUGCAACGAUCUACAGGAACAAGCUGAAAUGUACAAUCAAGACACUUUGAUCAGGGAUGACUUUUAAAAAAAACAACCCAAAGAUACCAUCACUGAAUUUCAAAUGUUAAACUUGCCUUCAUGUUUCUGAAA
This is a long non-coding RNA of Dermochelys coriacea (leatherback sea turtle), 605 nucleotides long. RefSeq lists it as uncharacterized. Lineage: Eukaryota; Metazoa; Chordata; Testudines; Dermochelyidae. The transcript has 3 exons. The record is from RefSeq and is a predicted model, not a curated record.